GGAGGCCUGUGAGUUUGCGCA
Molecule: small nuclear RNA, 21 nt
Filed under: Arabidopsis thaliana (thale cress)
Lineage: Eukaryota; Viridiplantae; Streptophyta; Magnoliopsida; Brassicales; Brassicaceae
Description: snRNA_19160
Source: RNAcentral